Molecule: ribosomal RNA, 500 nt
Filed under: uncultured bacterium
Lineage: Bacteria
Description: bacterial SSU rRNA
Rfam family: Bacterial small subunit ribosomal RNA
Source: RNAcentral
AUUGAACGCUGGCGGAAUGCUUUACACAUGCAAGUCGAACGGCAGCACGGGGCAACCUGGUGGCGAGUGGCGAACGGGUGAGUAAUACAUCGGAACGUGCCCAAUCGUGGGGGAUAACGUAGCGAAAGUUACGCUAAUACCGCAUACGAUCUACGGAUGAAAGCGGGGGAUCGCAAGACCUCGCGCGAGUGGAGCGGCCGAUGUCAGAUUAGGUAGUUGGUGGGGUAAAGGCUCACCAAGCCAACGAUCUGUAGCUGGUCUGAGAGGACGACCAGCCACACUGGAACUGAGACACGGUCCAGACUCCUACGGGAGGCAGCAGUGGGGAAUUUUGGACAAUGGGCGCAAGCCUGAUCCAGCCAUUCCGCGUGCAGGAUGAAGGCCUUCGGGUUGUAAACUGCUUUUGUACGGAACGAAACGGCGAGCUCUAAUACAGUUUGCUAAUGACGGUACCGUAAGAAUAAGCACCGGCUAACUACGUGCCAGCAGCCGCGGUAAGG